CCUACGGGAGGCAGCAGUGGGGAAUCUUGCGCAAUGGGCGAAAGCCUGACGCAGCCAUGCCGCGUGAAUGAUGAAGGUCUUAGGAUUGUAAAAUUCUUUCACCGGGGACGAUAAUGACGGUACCCGGAGAAGAAGCCCCGGCUAACUUCGUGCCAGCAGCCGCGGUAAUACGAAGGGGGCUAGCGUUGCUCGGAAUUACUGGGCGUAAAGGGAGCGUAGGCGGAUAGUUUAGUCAGAGGUGAAAGCCCAGGGCUCAACCUUGGAAUUGCCCUUGAUACUGGCUAUCUUGAGUACGGAAGAGGUAUGUGGAACUCCGAGUGUAGAGGUGAAAUUCGUAGAUAUUCGGAAGAACACCAGUGGCGAAGGCGACAUACUGGUCCGUUACUGACGCUGAGGCUCGAAAGCGUGGGGAGCAAACAGGAUUAGAUACCCUGGUAGUCCACGCUGUAAACGAUGAGUGCUAGUUGUCGGCAUGCAUGCAUGUCGGUGACGCAGCUACGCAUAAGACACUCCGCCGUCGGGAGGUACGGUCGCGAAGAAUUAAACUAACGAAAGGAAGUUAGUACGGACGUGAGACGUAGCCGACGGACGACGACGAGGGAGGAGG
RNAcentral lists this ribosomal RNA (607 nucleotides) under uncultured bacterium. RNAcentral describes it as "bacterial SSU rRNA". The stretch from base 1 to 516 matches the Rfam family "Bacterial small subunit ribosomal RNA", at positions 338 to 873 of the family's 1533-position model. The record is from RNAcentral.